GUGGGAGGAGCGCAAGUCGGAAAGAGAAAGAGAGAGGGCCGAUGGACUCGAAGGAGAGGGAAAAGCACGGUGCUUUUAAAAAAGUUUUAUCUUGCGGCGCGCUUGGUCUCUCAGACGCUACCGAACGCCGGUACGGUGUUGCACGGUGUGUGCUGUGCUUUCUUCGCUGUCCCAUCGGGAGAACAGACAGACAGACAGACAGAGAGAGAGAGAGGGAGAGAGAGAGAGAGAGCAAGCGAGCGAAGGAGGGGAGAGAGAGGAGAGGAGAGGAGAAAAGAGAAGAACAGAGUCAGAGAUCAUCGCGUGGACCAUCUUCUCGCAAAGUCCUCGCGCGUACCCUUCUUCCCAUACCGAUCCUCUACUUUUUAUUCUUCGUAUCUCGUCAUUGCCCACUCGCGUUUGCAACGACGGACGCACGCGGAUAAUUAAAAGGAACAACAGGUUCUUCGUCUUGCAUUCUUUUAUUCAAAUACUCGCGUAAUGAGUCCUUGAAGAAUUCGCCGAAAGAAAGAGACAGAUAAAUAGAGAGAAAGAGAUUGUAAUUUCACGCGAGAAGAAGGCGAAGAGAUCGAGGAGUACUCUCUUUGCCUGUUAUCGAAAUGAAGAAGAAUCGUGUUUUAUUAAAGAGUGCGUUGCUCUUCUUCCUGAUCGGCGCUCAUCUACUACUCGUCUCCGCAUCCGAGAACGAUGACUUGGUCUUCGAUCAAGAUGGCAAACAAUCGAGCUUGGAAAUUCCGUUGAUCGAGAAACACGAGGAGCAAUCGAUCUUUCAUAGGAUAAAGAGAUCGUUCUUUAGUUUUUUCGAUCCCUUCGUAUCCGCUACUACUACCAAUACCAGUGAUACUAACGUCGACAACGAUACCACCACUUCAGCGAUCGGUACCACGUUAUCGUCGCCUACGAACUUUCGAAAAAACGAGGACACCGUUGACCAGAUCGACGAUACGAAUAACACCGACAUUACGAAAUCUAAGAAAACCCGUCCGUAUUUGGAGAGAUUGAUUCGGGAUAGUCAAGAGGAAUACGUCGACGACAAGCAGGAGAACGAGAUCGGUGACGUGGCGGAAGGGCGAAGACAACCGCAGAAUUAUGUCAAUUCCGACGACGAGGACCUCGUGGCGUCGGGCGAGAUCGAGGGUAGCGCAACGGAUUCGGACGUUUCCCAACCUGUCACGGAGGGACAAAAGAUCGAAGGAAAGGCCCGAUUUUAUCGGAUAACCUUGACGGUCGGCGAGCCUUACAGAAGAGAGUACGCCGACAGAAAGAGCAGGGAGUACAAGGAGCUAAGCGGUAAUUUGACACAGGCUUUGGAAGAGCUAUACGCUCGACAUAUUCCCAAUUACGAUCAUAUGGCCAACGUCAUUAAAAUAUCGCCAACGUCCGACGCGUUUACGUCACAAGUCACACUCGACAUUGGUUCUACGUUCACGGAUGAGUUGGAGGUACGGGAUAUACUCGAGAAACAGUUGCAGUAUCAUUCCUUGGGAAGCAUCCAAGUUGGUCCGGAGGGAUUCACUUUCCGACAUUUUCUAGGGAUGGAAAGCGUAUUACCGGAAUGCGAUCAAUCGAGCGAAUUAACGUGUAGAAACGGUGCAUGCGUGCCAUUAGAUUCGCGCUGCGACGGCACGGACCAAUGCGAGGAUGGAUCCGACGAGGUGGAUUGUCACUCUACGUUACGGCCGACUACGACGCACUUUAGCGAGGGCGAAGAAGAGAGAUGGCCCUUGCCAACGGAGGCAACCAGCGAGGAGCCGACCGACACAGGGGAGGAGGACCUGAAAAUAGCCAAAGGAGAGGAAGAGGAUUCGACCUUGAGGGCAGCUUCGAACAAAUGUCGCGCCGACGACGUGGUCCGCUGUCAGGAUGGAAGUCGUUAUAUUUGUUCCGUACAGCGAUGCGACGGCGUGCCGGAUUGCGAGGACGGGGCCGAUGAAGUAGGAUGUCCGCAUUCAGGCUGCAAGUUUGGCGAAUUCGCUUGCGACGUGCGAAGGUGCAUCCUGGAAUCUCAACGUUGCAACUUUGUCGAGGACUGUCAAGACGGAAGCGACGAGCACAAUUGCAAUUAUCCCGCGUGCACGGUGAGCCAAUUCAAAUGCAGGAACGGAGAGUGUAUCGACGGAAGCAAGCAUUGCGACGGUGUUUUGGAUUGUCGAGACAGAUCGGACGAAUAUGGCUGUCCCUGCAGGGAAUACCAAUUCGAGUGCUCGGCCGGUUACUGCGUAGAUCUAUCUCGUCGCUGCGACGGAUACGCCGAUUGUUCCAACAAAAAGGACGAAGAAAAUUGUAUCGGAACGACAAGAUGCCGAGAGGACGAGUUCGAAUGUGCCAGCGGUACGACGUGUGUCAGCAAGAUGGCAAGAUGUGAUGGACGAAACGACUGCGACGAUCGUUCAGACGAAUAUAAUUGCACCGUAACAACCUGCAGCAGCGAUCAGUUCCGUUGCAUAGACGGCAUCUGUCUGAGCAUCGACAAAAGAUGCAACGGCGUGGCUGAUUGUCGUAACGGCGAGGACGAAAACCAGUGCGGUUGCGGAGAUGCAGAAUUUCGGUGCACGGACGGCCGAUGUAUAGGCUACGAGUUGCAGUGCAACGGGGUGAACGAGUGUUCCGAUGGCUCGGAUGAGAGGGAUUGCGGUUUGGCCCCCUGCCCUUCCAUGGACUUCACCUGCGGCGAUGGCUCUUGCAUACCGAAGAGUUCGGUCUGCGACGGAUUCGACGACUGCCCGAGGGCAGAAGACGAGCUUAAUUGCGACCAGGAAUGUACGCCAACGCAGUUCAAAUGUCUCACCGGGAACAAGUGCAUCGAGGGUAUCUACAGAUGCGACGGCCAUCCGGAUUGUCCAGAUCGCAGCGACGAGGACUGUGCUAACGAAACGAUUACACAUACCACCAGCCCGCCUACGAACCAAACCUGGCCAGGAUGGGCGAACGAGAAAACGUGGGAAUGCGAUCCUAAUCGAGAAAUGCGCUGCGACGACGGCAAAUGCGUGCUUCUCAAGCGUAAAUGCGACAAUAUCUUCGACUGUCUCGAUGGUACCGAUGAGCGCGGUUGCGGAAUCUGCACGCCUGCCGAAUGGAAGUGCGCCAGUGGCGAAUGCUUGCCAGAAAACGAAAGAUGCGACGGGGUACGCAAUUGUGUCGAUGGAUCCGACGAGUCUGGAUGUGUAACUGAAUGUCCGCCUGGAAAUUUUCGAUGCAACGAUGGAUUGUGCCUCGACAGUAAGAAACGUUGCGACGGACGAUCGCACUGCUUGGACGGCUCCGAUGAGAUCAAUUGCCAGUGCCCGAUUGGUAAGAGAGCGUGCGACAACGGCGUUUGCAUCGACGAGAGAUUCUUCUGCGACAAAAAUUACGACUGUCUGGAUCGCAGCGACGAAUUUGACUGCCACGACGAGGCAACGAGCGAAAAGGGUUAUCCGAAGGAGAAGGAGUGUAGCGAGAACGAGUUCACCUGCAAUGACGGAUCUUGUAUACCUCGAUAUCUCGUCUGCGAUGGUAGAUCGGAUUGUUCGGAGGGUACGGAUGAGUUCGGCUGUCCUCCUCACGGGUGCGGACAAGAUCAGUUUCAAUGCAGAACCGGCGAUUGUAUUAGAAACGACCAAAGGUGCGACGGACGUAUCGAUUGCGAGGAUGGCUCGGACGAACCCUCCGAGUGUGACACGACGACGCUCAAGCCAGAAGGACCAGGCGCCCGUCCGAUGCCAGGUCGUUGUCCAGCCGGACAAUUUCAAUGCGUUUUGGAUAAGGCCUGUGUACCGCAGUCAUCCAUUUGCAAUGGCGUUCCCGAAUGCCGAGACGCCAGCGACGAAAACAAUUGCGGUUCAACCGGUGGAUCGACCGGACUGAACUUGAAAACUUAUCCGAGCGAGCAAGUGAUCAAGGAGAACCCGGCGAAGCAAGGCCGUGAGGUCGUCUUCCAAUGCCGUGACGAAGGUCCUCUGCGUGCAAGAGUACGCUGGCUUCGCGAUAACGAUCUUCCUCUACCGCCUGCCAGUCGAGAUCUUAAUGGCAGAUUAGAAAUACCAAACAUUCAGCUCGAUCAUGCGGGAAUUUACAUUUGCGAAGCAGUGGGCUAUCCUCCAUCCAUGCCAGGAAGUCGGCUAAGCGUCAAUCUCACUGUCGAAAAGUUCGAGGAACCAACAACGAGGCCCCCACAAGUCUGCCAAUACGAUCAGGCCACUUGCAGCAACGGAGAUUGCAUUCCGAAAUCGUACGUCUGUGAUGGAAAAUUCGAUUGUACCGACGGCUCAGACGAGAUGAGAUGCAGUCCGCACGGGUGCGAGCCCAACGAAUUCAGAUGCAACAACAAGCAGUGCGUGAGUAAGCUUUGGCGUUGCGACGGUGAAAGGGAUUGCGCCGACAACAGCGACGAAGAGGAUUGUACACCUUCUCCGCCUGGUUCACCCUGCCGUUAUCACGAAUUCGCUUGUGCGUCGUACAAUCAAUGCAUACCUAAGGUUUAUCAUUGCGAUCGAGAACGGGACUGUCUCGAUGGUAGCGACGAAUUUGGCUGCUCUCCCGUAUACAUCGUUAAGCCACCACCGCCUAUGGUAGUCCUCGAGCCGGGUGACGUUAUGGUACUGACCUGUACGGCAAUCGGCGUACCCAUUCCGGAGAUAAACUGGCGACUAAACUGGGGACACAUACACGCGAAAUGCAGCAGUACCUCCGUGAACGGAACCGGGACAUUAACGUGCCCUGAUAUACAGCCAGAGGACUCGGGCGCUUACUCCUGCGAGGCUUUGAACGUUGUCGGCUUCGUUAUAGCCCAACCGGACGCUAUUUUGGUGGUAAAAGAGCCAAAGGGCAUUUGCCCGAAGGGAACGUUCAAUGCCGAGGCGCGUUCCGUCGACGAGUGCAUAUCCUGCUUCUGCUUCGGCGUAGCUACCGAGUGUCGUAGCGCGAAUUUGUUCACUUAUCAGAUACCACCACCGUUCGAAAGUCACAAAAUCAUAUCGGUACAAACGGAAGCGGAAAUACGUUUUUACGGUGACAUCAAGGAUCAAAUAUCGGAGGUUCGACCGAUCGGCCGGGAUGGGAUUCAAUUGCUCGAAUCGUUUAGCAACGAAAUGAGUACCUACAGGAUACCGUACUACGCCUUAUCCGAGAAUUAUCACGGUAGCCAAUUAAAGUCUUACGGUGGUUACUUGACUUAUACGAUACAUUACAAUGGCAACGGUGCGCCUAACGACGCGCCCUCGGUCAUUCUUACCGGCAACAAGUACAUACUCGUUCACAAAGGCAACCACAUACCUCCCGAUUACGAGACGAAAGAAUCCGUUAGAUUUUUCUACGGCGAGUGGUAUAAGCGUCAUGGUAACACCGAGGUACUGGCAUCCAGAGAAGAAAUAAUGAUGACGCUGGCGAACGUCGACAAUAUUCUCAUCAAAGCAAAAUACGAAGAUUCCCCGCAAUUGGACGUGCGUAUCACCAAUAUCGUAAUGGACACCGCCGACGUGCGCAACACUGGAUUAGGCUCUGCGUCCUUUGUGGAAGAGUGUCAAUGCCCUACCGGAUACAAUGGUCUUUCGUGCGAGAACUGUGCCUCGGGAUAUCUUAGACGCGAGACCGGACCGUGGCUUGGACAAUGCUACCGAGACGAUCCACCCUGCGCCCCCGGUUACUACGGAGAUCCUUCGAGGAACAUACCUUGCCAGCUUUGUCCGUGUCCUCUGACCAAUCCAUCGAAUCAAUUCACACGAACCUGUCAUCUCGGAUCGGACGGUGAGCCUACGUGCGAUUGUCCAGCCGGAUACGUCGGUCGUAGGUGCGAACAAUGUGCUAUCGGCUAUCAAGGAAAUCCUAUCAUUCCCGGCGAUAUGUGCGUACCCGUGCAACAAUGCGAUCCCGAUGGUAGUCUCACGCCGAACGCCGAUCCAAAUACCGGAAAAUGUCGUUGCAAGCUAUACGCAACGGGCCUGACGUGCAACCAAUGCAAGGCAAAUACAUUCAACCUGGGCUUUAGGAAUCAAUUCGGAUGCAUAAGUUGCUUUUGCAUGGGUAUUACGAAUAAAUGUGUAUCGUCCAAUUGGUACAGAAACGAGAUUCACGUGUCCUUCACAAAUUCCUUACGAGGUUUUACGCUGACCGAAUCGAAAACACCCGACGCACCACCGAUAACGGAUGGCAUUCGACUCGAUACGAUCAAUCGCGAAAUAGUCUACAACGAUUUUCAUAAUCGCGGCAACAAUGACGUUUAUUAUUGGCAAUUACCGAAUAUUUUCCUCGGCGAUCAAAUAACAUCGUACGGUGGUAAUCUGAAAUAUACGGUUCGAUACGUUCCAUCGCCGGGUGGCCAAAGUUCGAGAAACAAUGCCGCGGACGUCGAAUUGAUCAGCGCCAAUGACAUUAAAUUGCUCUAUUAUUCGCGAGAAUCUCCCGAACCGAAUUCUCAGCAAUCGUUCGUCGUUCCGUUGCUCGAGCAAUAUUGGCAACGUGCCGAUGGAACCACAGCUGACAGAGAACAUCUUUUAAUGGCACUAGCGGACGUACGAGCUAUCAAGAUUAAGGCUACUUACACGACCCACACCGACGAGACGGCGCUUUCCUCGGUUUCCCUUGACACGGCAGAGAAGCAUAACACCGGAAAGGCAAGAGCGGUCGAAGUUGAGGAAUGCAGUUGUCCCGUUGGAUACAAGGGACUCUCGUGCGAGGACUGUGACGUUGGUUAUACAAGGGCCAUGGAAGGCUUGUAUCUUGGAAUUUGCGAGCCUUGUAAUUGCAACGGACACUCGAGUCAGUGCGAUCCCGAGACCGGUCUGUGCGAGAAUUGCGCCGAUCAUACUACCGGAGAAUACUGCGAGAGAUGUGAAUCCGGAUACGAAGGAGACGCGACUCGUGGUACUUCCAGUGAUUGUACGCGCAGAAAUGAUCCUCAAGAGUGCAAUUGCAACGAAGCUGGAUCCCGUAGCUCCUCGUGUUUCGCCGGUCGCUGCGAAUGUAAGAGGAACGUCGAGGGACCGGAAUGCGACAGAUGCCGUCCGGGUACCUUUGGAUUGUCCAGGGAAAAUACGGACGGUUGUAACGAAUGUUAUUGCAGUGGCGUGACCAAACAAUGCCACGAAAGUUCGCUCUACGUUCAACAAAUACCAAUAUGGGUUUAUGAUUCUCAUCAUGGAUUUACCCUUACCGAUGACACGAGACAAGACGUUAUAAACGACGGCUUUGAUUUGAAUGUUGCUAUGAACGAAAUUGGAUAUCGCUAUCCCGACAAUCGUAGUCGCAGACUAUUUUGGUCUUUGCCGUCCGCUUUCACUGGUAAUCAAGUAAAAAGCUAUGGUGGCAGUUUAACUUUUACUCAGCACAUCACCGCACAGCCUGGCGCACAAACCUAUAAAGAUCAAGACGUUUUACUCAUUGGAAAUGGCAUCACAUUAUUCUGGACUAAUCCAAUAGAUCUUUCACCGGACAUACCAAUGACCUAUUCCGUUCUAUUGAAAGAAUCAGAAUGGAAACGAUUAACGACAGCAGGUCCACGGAGUGCUUCUCGUACGGAUAUGAUGACGGUUCUUUCCAAUAUCGAAGCUAUUCUGGUCCGAGCUUCUCAUAGUGAAGAAAUGACGGCGACUUACAUCAGCGACAUUAGUCUCGAUACAGCGGUAGAAAAUUUCUCUGGACAUAGAAGAGCACCUAACGUCGAAGCGUGUCGUUGUCCAGCCGGUUACGUCGGAACAUCUUGCGAAACUUGUGCUCGUGGAUAUUACAGAGAUACCAGUGACAGAGCUUUUAGCGUUCUUGGCUCCUGCAAUCCUUGCCCGUGUAAUAACAACGAAGAAAAUUGUGAGAUCAAUAGGUCCGGACACGUCAAGUGUAAUUGCUUGCCAGGAUAUACAGGACAAAAUUGUCAAGACAUUGACGAAUAUCCUCAAACUACUCCUCCUCCAACACCGACGAUUACCCCACCAAGAAUUGUCGUUUUCGUACAAGAACCAGAAUUCCAAAUUGUACAUACUGGAAAUACCGUUAGAUACCAUUGCAGCGGUAGAUCGCUCGACAAUGGCUCUUUGUAUAUUCGCUGGGAGAAGGAAGGUGGCCAAUUGCCAUCGGGUAGAAGCAUAGACGAUUCUCACGGAGUCUUAAUUAUUAGAGACGUCAAAGUAUCCGACAGUGGUAUAUACGUUUGUCAAGUUAGCGACGGGAUAAACAUUGGAAUUAAAAAAGUUACUCUUACCGUUGGAGCUUUUCCGAAAAGUUUAUUAGAGAUACCAGGAGCAAAUCAGAUAAAACCUCGAGUCGUCAUUAUGCCACCUUACCUCGAAGUAAAAGAAGGAGAACCGGUAGAAUUUCAUUGCGAUGCCAGUGGUAAUCCCCCUCCGCAAGUAGAAUGGAUCCGACUUCACGGAAGUAUCAGCUCGGAGUCGUCGUUCCAUAAUGGCGUUUGGAGGCUACCAGCUGCCUCGAGAAACGAUGCGGCCGAAUAUAAAUGCAUUGCUAAGAAUAACGUCGGGGUGGAGGAAAAAACAACGAUUCUAUACGUUAGAGAAAAUCCAGAAGGUCCUCCGGCUACUGGUUUGGCUCCGAUUAUAACACCCGCCGAAUGGGUUGGUUCUAUCGGAGAUGUCGUCAGAUUAACUUGUACCCCGUCGCAAAGUGCAAACCUAACGUGGAUUCGAUCCGACGGUUUGCCUCUACCUUACUCCGCGACUCAGCGCGAUGGUACUCUUAUAAUCAAUAAUCCGACGAUUAAUGAUUCCGGUUUAUAUGUCUGUAUCGCUGUCAGUUACAAAGGAACAGAAACAAAUUCUACCGCUAGAAUAACGAUUAUUCCACGAAGAGAUCCACCAACGGUUAAAGUCAAGCCUGAAAGGCAAACGAUAUCGCAAGGUACGUCGACCGAAAUACGUUGCGUUACGAGCGGAGAACCGGGCCUCCAAGUGAAAUGGAGCAAAUUGUCGGAAACGAUGAAUUCGAACGUCCAACAAGUUGGAGAUACCCUUAGAAUUGUUAAUGCACAAGUUUCCGAUCGAGGCGUUUAUAUCUGUCGUGUCAGUAGUACCAUAGGCAGCUACGAAGCUAGUGCCAUCGUCGAAGUUGAACCUCGUGAAAUUCCGGUACUCGAAUUAUAUCCAAAGGACAUCCAGCCAGUUACGCUUGGCGGUUCUGCUGAUUUACAAUGUCGCGCCAUAGCCGGUCUUCCACUUCCCGAGAUCCGCUGGUCUCGUCAAGAUGGUAGAUCAUUUGCUCCGAACAUCGAACAACUUCCUGGCGGAUUAUUGAGAUUUUCUAAUAUUACGAUAAACGACGGUGGCUCUUACGUUUGCUCGGCGACAAAUGAAGUUGGUUCCGUCUCUGAGAUAGCUCAUAUCGAAGUACAGUCGAUACCUGUUAUUACGAUCGAACCAAGGGCAGGUAUUUUGCAAGUCAAACUUGGGGAUAGGGUGCGAUUGGCUUGCAGCGCUGUAGGCCAUCCGCAACCAAAUGUUGCCUGGAGUAAACAUAUCAAUGGAUUGGCCACGUACGAUGCGUACAGCAAAACUGCAGCAACGCCGUUAAGUGCGGUAUACGAAAUAUUCUCCGUUUCCCCCGACGACGAAGGUUCGUACUCUUGUCAAGCAUCAAAUUCGGUAGGCAUAGUGGAGGACCGUGUACAAAUACGGAUCGAGGACAACGAUAUUGAAUCUACACCUUGCAGAGGUGAUAUGAUGACGUGCGAUAAUGACAACAGACGUCCACCAAUUCAGGAUCACAGAAAUCCUUACGAAGGUGGUGUAUUAAUUCCUGAAGACUUUUUAAGAAUUCCCAAUAACGGUAAAGUGGAAAUGCGUUGUCAGGUAAUUGCCCCCGAUGGCGAUCAGAUUUAUCUUGACUGGAAGAGAAGUGAUCAUCGUGCCUUACCGAAGGGCAGUACCGUUCAUAAUGGCGUUUUAAGCAUUCCAACGGUCGACAAAAGUGCCGCAGGGGAAUACAUUUGUCUUGGUUUAAAUCCCGCCGGGACGGUCAUUUUCAAGGCUAAAUCUCAUUUGGAAAUUAUAUCUCCACCAAGAAUCGAGUUAAAUCCAACUCGUCAAACUGUUGGACCUGGAAAAAAUCCUUCUAUAACUUGCACCGCAACCGGGGACAAGCCCCUUCACAUUCAAUGGGAAGCUAUAGGACGGCCACUUCCCUAUUCCGUAUCCAAUGAUAAUGGCGUUUUGCAAUUCCACGGUAUAACGUAUUCAGAUGCCGGAAAAUAUGUUUGCAAGGCCACGAACGAAGCGGGCACAGCGGAGGCGGUAGCGGAAGUCAUAGUAAAUGAACAUACCUACGACGACACGAGCAUUCGUGCCACGCAAAGGGACGUUACAACGUAUCCAGGUAAUUCUGUACGUUUGCGUUGCGAAAUCAGAGAACAUGCUGCAAUAGAAUGGAGUAGAGAGGGCCAAUUUUUGCCUUUACAUAGUCGAAUUGGCGAUGACUAUUUAGAAUUGACGCAAGUGAGACCAGAAGACAGUGGAAGAUAUAUUUGUCAAAUUCGUAACUCCCAUGGAGUUUCCAGUGAUUACAUUAAUUUAAAUGUAAUACUAGUUAAUUUGCUUGCGGAUUGCAUGCCAGUGUACCGAUCCCAGUGCAGACCCGGGGAGUAUCAGUGCUACGGUCAACAAUGCAUUCAUUUGGAUUACUUUUGCGACGGCUAUGCUCAAUGCAACGAUGGUACUGACGAACGCUUCUGCCGCAUCCCGCAAUAUCGCCAAUUUCUUCAAAGACGACGCGCUGCCGUUGCACCUGCACUUACCAUCGAGGCAUCUCAAGAUCCUGUAAAUAUCGGAGAUACGGUUGACAUACGUUGCGCGUGUUCGGGUACUCCUAGUCCGCACUAUCGAUGGUCCAGACCAAACCAUCCAGAUUUACCAUCGAAUGCUCAAACAUAUGAGAAUAUUCUUAGAUUAUCUAAUGUAGCCGUUAGCGAUAGUGGUACCUACAAAUGUACAGUAAUGACUCCGCAGGGCAUCUUCGAGGAAGAUUUCAAUCUCAUUGUACAGGGUGGACAUAACGAUGGGCCAGCAAUUGAAACGAAGUUUGCACCUUAUGGAUCUAGCAUUGAAAUGGAUUGUCACGUUGAUCUUGAACCACCUGUUAAAUUCCAAUGGAACAAACUUGGUGGAUUAUUAUCUCAGGAUACGGAAACUUAUCAGAAUAAAUUGAAACUGAAAAAUGUCAAAGCCGAAGAUGCAGGAACAUACAUUUGUAUAGCAAACAAUGAUAAAGUAAAUAUAGAAGUACCGACUGUGCUUGUUGUAACAGGAGUCGUACCUAACUUCAGCCAAGCACCAGAAAGUUAUAUAGCUUUGCCUCCGUUACCUGAUUCAUAUCUCAAGUUCAAUAUUGAAAUAUCUUUCAAACCGGAGAAUUAUGAAGGCAUUAUCUUAUACAAUGCUGAAUCAAAUCAUGGUAGUGGCGAUUUCAUCCUUCUAUCCUUAGUAGGAGGAUAUCCACAAUUCAAAUUUGACCUUGGUUCUGGAUCAGCUGUUAUAUCAGCAGAUAAAUCGAUUACUCUGGGUCAAUGGCAUACGAUUAAAAUUCAACGUGUUAGAAAAGAAGUAACGAUGCUAGUCGAUGGUCAAGGACCAUACAGAGGAGUUUCGGCUGGUCGAAGACAAGGAUUAGAUCUUAAGGGACCACUUUAUAUCGGUGGAGUUCCAAAUCACAGUAUUUUUAUCAAAGAGGCUGUUACGAAUAUCGGAUUUAUUGGUUGUAUCAGUAGACUAGUCAUUGGUGAAAAGGAAAUUGAUUUAAUUGGAGAUCAAACGGGUAACGUAGGGAUAACAACUUGCGAGACGUGCGCUGAAAAUCCAUGCAAUAACGGUGGAGUUUGCCAGGAGGCAGCUACGAAGAAUGGUUAUAUGUGUUUAUGUAGAGCCGGAUUUAGUGGGAAACAUUGUAACUUUGUUGGACAAUCUUGUUAUCCAGGUGUCUGCGGAGACGGAAAAUGUAUGGAGAAGGAGACUGGUUUUGAUUGUUACUGCCCAUAUGGAAAAACUGGUCCACGUUGCGAACGAUCGGUAAAGAUCUAUGAACCAGCUUUUAACGAUGACAAAGCUUUCAUUGCACAUGAUACACCAAAGGCUCUUCGAAGGCUUAAAAUAGCUAUGAACUUCAAUCCUACCGACGAAGGAGACGGAAUAUUGAUAUAUUGUUCUCAAAGCGAAGAAGGACUUGGGGAUUUUGCAGCGCUCAUAAUAAAGAACAAGCACGUUGAAUUCCGCUAUGAUAUCGGCUCGGGUAUGGCCACAUUAAGAUCUAAUUAUAUCGUGCAACCUGGAACAUGGACGUACGUAACGAUAAACAGAGAUUUUAAAGAGGCGAAAUUAUCUGUGAACGGAGAACCAUUUGUCGAGGCAAGAUCACCUGGUGGUGCACGUACCAUGACACUGAAUACGCCAUUAUACAUCGGUGGCAUUGAUCGUAGAAAAAUUACAUUGAACAAGAAUCUUAAUGUCGAUCGUAGUUUUCGUGGGUGCAUUAGCGAACUCGAAGUAGCUUCCGUUAGCCUGGAGAUCUUAAAGUCGGCAAUGGAUAUGGCAAAUAUCGAAGAUUGUUCCAUGCUUCAUCCGAAUCAAACGAUUCCACGUACUACGCUCAUUACCCCUCCACCAACAAGUCCACCAACGACUUUGUACGAUCCGUGCACAUCGAGUCCUUGCAUACACGGGUUCUGUCAGAAAUUAGAUUCUCGCGAAUAUUCCUGUACGUGCGAAUAUGGAUACGCGGGAAGAAAUUGUGAAAAUGUAUUGAAACAGUGUGAAGUGUAUGCACCUUGUAGAAACGGUGGCAGUUGCACGGAUCUACACGGAUCUUACAAAUGCGACUGUAGGCUUGGCUUUAACGGCCAAACUUGUGAAAAGUUAGCAGAGAUCACGUAUGACAUUGCGUUCAAAGGAGAUGGCUGGUUAGAACUGGAAAGAUCAGUAAUGACGCACGAAGAAGAACGUGAAGUAUUGGGUUUCGAGAUAUCGACGAAUAAAACAAAUGGCUUGAUCAUGUGGCACGGUCAAACGCCGAAUGAUUUGAAUCCCGAUGAUUACAUAUCUCUCGCGGUUGUUGACGGUUACGUGGAAUAUCAAUACAAUUUAGGAUCAGGGCCGGCGGUUAUUCGCGUAACCGCUCAAAGGGUCGACGACGGAGAAAGGCAUAGAAUCAUUUUAAAACGACAAGGUAGCGACGGUAGCAUCGAGUUAAACGGCGAACAUACGGAAAGUGGACUGAGCGACGGGCUGCAACAAAUUUUGAAUACCAGAGGCAGCGUUUAUCUAGGAGGUGUACCCGAUUAUGCAAUGACCUACGGACGAUACCACGAAGGAUUUUCCGGUUGUAUUUACACUCUCGAAGUACAAGACUCCGGGGCUAUUGAUAUUGGAGAAAAAGCUAUUAGAGGAAAAAACGUUUCUCCGUGUACCAGAGUGAGAUGGAUUCCAUCUUCAUUGGUAUUUACGGACGCAGAUGCAGAUAUUUUUGAUGCGUUUGUACCUCCACCUCCUGUAAAUAUUAUUCAUCCAAAACCUGCUGCUAAUGUAGCCACACGUAAUAUUAAGAGUUAUUUACUUUUGAUCGUGUUACAACAUUUGAUCGCGUUGAAAAUAGAAAAUAGAAAUUUAAUCGUUGUUCGUACACUUUUUUACAUAGGCGCUAUUAAUAUAUCAUAAGAAAUGUAUUAAUUUAAAUAGACAAAUAUAUUUCAAUUUAUACAAUUUCUAGGGUAUACUUAUAUUCCAAGUUUUUGCUAAUACAUCAUUGCUUGUAAUAUUUGUAUUCCCGUAAAUUUUCAAAGAAAUUUAUCCGGACAAUUAUUAAAUUUAUUAAUUCUUUUAUGUACAAUUGUUUAACGCAAUCUGGAAAGAAUCUGACCGAACCCAUGUGAUCCAGUUGAAAAGACUUCCAUUCGUGGUGAUCCGGGAAGAAGACAUUAAGAGAAUCCAUACGUAUGGAUAUUUUAUCUGAUUUUUCAAAAAAAAAAAAAAAAAAAAAAAAGAAAAAAGAAAAAAGAAAAAAAAAAGAAAAAAAACAUUUUUCAAUAUUCAAAGCGGUAUGGUUCUUUUGGCGGAUGUUUCAGCGUUCGUUAAUACGUUUCGUUUUAUAGAAAGCUGCGUUUAUUUGCGAUGUAAAACUAUUACAUACAAAUGUUAUGUAACAGCGAAAAGUAUGGCAUUGUUGUAAUUUCAAAAAUUUUCCACUAAAAAAUAGAGAUAAACAUUAUUAAUUGUCGUAAAAAAUUCAAGAUAUUUCUCUAUACACAAAUAUUAAUUAUAAUUGGACAAAGACUUUGAUAUACAAACCCGUAAAGGUUUGUACCGAUGAAAGUAUCCGAUUAAAAUCAUACUCUGUUCAUUGAUAAUAGUAAGAAUCAUAUCUGACCUUAAGCAAAGUAAUUCUGACUUUUGUUUAAGUAUUUUAUGUUGACAAUCAUUCCCAAUGAUGUUAUUACAAACUAGUAACAAUUAUUUGAUUACUUACAAACUUUCUAAC
RNA transcript from Vespa crabro (European hornet), 14439 nucleotides. It is a transcript of the gene named basement membrane-specific heparan sulfate proteoglycan core protein, with no coding region annotated. The record is from RefSeq and is a predicted model, not a curated record. The transcript has 62 exons. Lineage: Eukaryota; Metazoa; Arthropoda; Insecta; Hymenoptera; Vespidae.